This 468-nucleotide ribosomal RNA is filed under the name uncultured bacterium. RNAcentral describes it as "partial 16S ribosomal RNA". It matches the Rfam family "Bacterial small subunit ribosomal RNA", at positions 28 to 507 of the family's 1533-position model. The record is from RNAcentral.
GACGAACGCUGGCGGCGUGCUUAACACAUGCAAGUCGAACGGAAAGGCCCUGCUUUUGUGGGGUGCUCGAGUGGCGAACGGGUGAGUAACACGUGAGUAACCUGCCCUUGACUUUGGGAUAACUUCAGGAAACUGGGGCUAAUACCGGAUAGGAGCUCCUGCUGCAUGGUGGGGGUUGGAAAGUUUCGGCGGUUGGGGAUGGACUCGCGGCUUAUCAGCUUGUUGGUGGGGUAGUGGCUUACCAAGGCUUUGACGGGUAGCCGGCCUGAGAGGGUGACCGGCCACAUUGGGACUGAGAUACGGCUCAGACUCCUACGGGAGGCAGCAGUGGGGAAUAUUGCACAAUAGGCGGAAGCCUGAUGCAGCAACGCCGCGUGCGGGAUGACGGCCUUCGGGUUGUAAACCGCUUUCGCCUGUGACGAAGCGUGAGUGACGGUAAUGGGUAAAGAAGCACCGGCUAACUACGUG